This 935-nucleotide ribosomal RNA is filed under the name Psychrobacter maritimus. Its description in RNAcentral is "bacterial SSU rRNA". It matches the Rfam family "Bacterial small subunit ribosomal RNA", at positions 69 to 1002 of the family's 1533-position model. Lineage: Bacteria; Pseudomonadati; Pseudomonadota; Gammaproteobacteria; Moraxellales; Moraxellaceae. The record is from RNAcentral.
CGAUGAUAGCUUGCUAUCAGGCGUCGAGCGGCGGACGGGUGAGUAAUACUUAGGAAUCUACCUAGUAGUGGGGGAUAGCUCGGGGAAACUCGAAUUAAUACCGCAUACGACCUACGGGAGAAAGGGGGCAACUUGUUGCUCUCGCUAUUAGAUGAGCCUAAGUCGGAUUAGCUAGAUGGUGGGGUAAAGGCCUACCAUGGCGACGAUCUGUAGCUGGUCUGAGAGGAUGAUCAGCCACACCGGGACUGAGACACGGCCCGGACUCCUACGGGAGGCAGCAGUGGGGAAUAUUGGACAAUGGGGGCAACCCUGAUCCAGCCAUGCCGCGUGUGUGAAGAAGGCCUUUUGGUUGUAAAGCACUUUAAGCAGUGAAGAAGACUCCGUGGUUAAUACCCACGGACGAUGACAUUAGCUGCAGAAUAAGCACCGGCUAACUCUGUGCCAGCAGCCGCGGUAAUACAGAGGGUGCAAGCGUUAAUCGGAAUUACUGGGCGUAAAGCGAGCGUAGGUGGCUUGAUAAGUCAGAUGUGAAAUCCCCGGGCUUAACCUGGGAACUGCAUCUGAUACUGUUAGGCUAGAAUAGGUGAGAGGAAGGUAGAAUUCCAGGUGUAGCGGUGAAAUGCGUAGAGAUCUGGAGGAAUACCGAUGGCGAAGGCAGCCUUCUGGCAUCAUAUUGACACUGAGGUUCGAAAGCGUGGGUAGCAAACAGGAUUAGAUACCCUGGUAGUCCACGCCGUAAACGAUGUCUACUAGUCGUUGGGUCCCUUGAGGACUUAGUGACGCAGCUAACGCAAUAAGUAGACCGCCUGGGGAGUACGGACGCAAGGUUAAGACUCAAAUGAAUUGACGGGGGCCCGCACAACGGUGGAGCAUGUGGUUUAUUCGAUGCAACGCUGAAGAACCUUACCUGGUCUUGACAUAUCUAGAAUCCUGCA